UACGAAGGGGGCUAGCGUUGUUCGGAAUUACUGGGCGUAAAGCGCAUGUAGGCGGCGAUUCAAGUCGGGGGUGAAAUCCCAGGGCUCAACCCUGGAACUGCCUUCGAUACUGUAUUGCUAGAGUAUGGAAGAGGUUGGUGGAACUGCGAGUGCAGAGGUGAAAUUCGUAGAUAUUCGCAAGAACACCAGUGGCGAAGGCGGCCAACUGGUCCAUCACUGACGCUGAGAUGCGAAAGCGUGGGGAGCAAACAGG
This 253-nucleotide ribosomal RNA is filed under the name uncultured bacterium. Its description in RNAcentral is "partial 16S ribosomal RNA". It matches the Rfam family "Bacterial small subunit ribosomal RNA", at positions 524 to 776 of the family's 1533-position model. The record is from RNAcentral.